Molecule: ribosomal RNA, 111 nt
Filed under: Butyricimonas virosa
Lineage: Bacteria; Pseudomonadati; Bacteroidota; Bacteroidia; Bacteroidales; Odoribacteraceae
Also listed under: 1 other name
Source: RNAcentral
AAAGGUGUCUAUAGCGACGGAGAUCCACCUCUUCCCAUCCCGAACAGAGAAGUUAAGCCCGUCAGCGCCGAUGGUACUGCCUUUAGGUGGGAGAGUAGGUCGAUGCCGAAU